RNAcentral lists this ribosomal RNA (460 nucleotides) under uncultured bacterium. RNAcentral's name for it is "partial 16S ribosomal RNA". It matches the Rfam family "Bacterial small subunit ribosomal RNA", at positions 338 to 795 of the family's 1533-position model. The record is from RNAcentral.
CCUACGGGUGGCAGCAGUGAGGAAUAUUGGUCAAUGGGCGCGAGCCUGAACCAGCCAAGUAGCGUGAAGGAUGACUGCCCUACGGGUUGUAAACUUCUUUUGUAAAGGAGUAAGGUGCGGCACGUGUGCCUUUUUGUGUGUACUUUAUGAAUAAGGAUCGGCUAACUCCGUGCCAGCAGCCGCGGUAAUACGGAGGAUCCGAGCGUUAUCCGGAUUUAUUGGGUUUAAAGGGAGCGUAGAUGGGUUGUUAAGUCAGUUGUGAAAGUUUGCGGCUCAACAGUAAAAUUGCAAUUGAUACUGGCAGCCUUGAGUACAGGUGAGGUAGGCGGAAUUCGUGGUGUAGCGGUGAAAUGCUUAGAUAUCACGAAGAACUCCGAUCGCGAAGGCAGCUUACUAAACUGCAACUGACAUUGAUGCUCGAAAGUGUGGGUAUCAAACAGGAUUAGAUACCCGGGUAGUC